UUUACUCUCUUUCUGCAGGAGGAUCUGUUGGCAAUCAGGCAAACCAACUUAACAUUUCUUUUAAAGAGUGACAGUGAAUUCAGGCUUUCUUUAGACAGUGAACUGUGACCUGCUGUCAGAAAAGGCUACACUGCCUACAUCAUGGUAUUGUCAAGGUGUUUCCUUCAACUUCUUGGUUAUAAUCCAUUUUCCUCUGAAACACCUAUUUGUGAACAAGAACUUUGUCAACUUUGUGGUUGUGAAAUUUAGGGGGAGGAAGAGAACAAAUAGACUGUGCUCCUCCUUUCAGAGUGGUUUCAGUCCUGAUCAGCAAUUUUUGAUUAC
RNAcentral lists this long non-coding RNA (324 nucleotides) under Parus major (Great Tit). Its description in RNAcentral is "lncRNA (ENSPMJG00000002609.1)". Lineage: Eukaryota; Metazoa; Chordata; Aves; Passeriformes; Paridae. The record is from RNAcentral.